ACUUCAGAGCUGUGAAGCAACUGGAACUGGAUUCUGUUCCUAGUUUCCUGCAGAAUUAGCUUCCUGUGAGUUAAAGUUUUAUGAUUUUGAUGUGAUUUCAAUUAUGGGUACUUUUAUUUUUGUUAUUUAUGCUGUUGUUUUGGAUUGGUUUUUGAUGAUUUUCAUGCUAACUUUAUAUUUGCAAGGGACUAAAGAUAUGCUGACUGAAGCUAUGCUAUGACAGAGGAUGGCAAUCACAGAAAUGAAGAGCAAACCUUGAGGCUUGAAGUUUAAUAGAGGUGGCAAAGGGUGUCCAUUAGGGAGACGAGCAUUAGAUAAUUUGCUUCAAAAAAUGGGUGGACAUAGGCUUCGAGCUGCCAAAAUAAAGAAAAUAAAC
This 376-nucleotide long non-coding RNA is filed under the name Prunus persica (peach). RNAcentral describes it as "long non-coding RNA (PPER_LNC002739)". The record is from RNAcentral. Lineage: Eukaryota; Viridiplantae; Streptophyta; Magnoliopsida; Rosales; Rosaceae.